RNAcentral lists this transfer RNA (75 nucleotides) under Cyanobacteria bacterium HKST-UBA02. RNAcentral's name for it is "tRNA-Ile". It matches the Rfam family "tRNA". Rfam says of the family: Transfer RNA (tRNA) molecules are approximately 80 nucleotides in length. Lineage: Bacteria; Bacillati; Cyanobacteriota. The record is from RNAcentral.
AGCCGCAUAGCUUAACAGUAGAGCACUCACCCGAUAAGUGAGCCCGUGCAGGUGCGAAUCCUGCUGCGGCGACCA